UGACACUGUUUCCCAGAAUCAAAAGCGUCUUCACUGUUUCUUGCAGCUCGGAAUGAACAGGAGGAACAAGAGGAGAAGAGAGAGAUCAAGAGGAGGUUAACUCGAAAGCUCAGCCAAAGACCCACGGUGGAAGAACUUAGAGAAAGAAAGAUCCUCAUCCGUUUCAGCGACUACGUGGAGGUGGCUGAUGCUCAGGACUACGACCGCAGGGCCGACAAGCCGUGGACCCGCCUCACCGCCGCCGACAAAGCUGCCAUUCGAAAGGAGCUCAAUGAAUUUAAAAGCACCGAAAUGGAAGUUCAUGAAUUGAGUAGACAUUUAACAAGGUUUCACCGACCUUAACAGUCAAAUUCCUCUUGAGUGCUAUGCUGUCUUCAAAACAUAAAUUUAUAAGAACCAUAAGUGCUGGUAUUUAUUCACUUCCCCAUUAUGAUGUAAAUCUUCUGAACUGCCUUUUUUUAAAAAAGAAGAAGAAGAAAAAAGGAAACGUGAUCAGGAUUCUCUUUGCGAAAAUACGGGGGUCACCGCUCGGCGGUCAGAACCACUGGCACCACGCGGAUACCGAGGACACCGGUGGGUCGGACGGAAGACUCCCUGGCGCUCGGAGCAGGCCCCAGCCUCUCCAGCCAGGCCCAGCAGGCCAACCUCCUUUAGGCUCAUUUAGGCCCCAGCGAACCUCUUCCCCUAAAGUGUGUGUCACCUGGGUCCAAAGAAAGCCGAGGCUGUGGGUUUGGCCUGGAACGGACUGCAAAGCAAAUGGUCGGGUGGGCCUUCUAGCCUUGACCAGACACACUGGCUGUAGGCGUCCGGCUCGGAGGAGGAUGCUGAGAGGGAGCCCUAUCCGCGGUUGCCCCUGUCCUUUCUCCCCCUUCAGCCGUCAUCCAUGCAGUGAACAAAAGGGAAGAUGCUUUUCUCGGGGAGUCUGUGGUUGACUGUUGGUCCCAAGAGUGUGUAGGCUCCAGGUGUGGAAGGCCGGCGCAGAGCCCCUAGCCUGUCCCUGCAGACUGAGCUGAGCUGCCUUCUAGGGAGCUCCGGUUUAGAAGGGGAAAGCAGUCAUCUGCUCAGUUCAAGUGAACUGACCCAGCUGUGUCACAAAAGCCAAAUGUCAUGGGUGAUCUUACGCACACGGCCACUGCCGUGGUAUUCCUAUGGUAUUCGUGCGUCUGAGUGUGAGGACCCUGGUGAGGACAGAAAGGCUGGGGUAAGAAACUGCUUGGCUGGUGUUCUUCGUUUUUCUCUGCGCACCCUGGGGCCGGUGACUGUGUGGCCUGGAAGUUAACAAACGGCCUCUGAGUAUAGGACCCAUGCAUGCAAGCUAGAGCCCAGUCCCGAAAGACUGUCCAGCCACCGAUGGACGGGCACUCCAGAACCACUUGAUGGCCUUCUAGUCUCCUGUCUUUGCACUGAAGAGUUUCUGUGGGGGAGCUUCAGGGUUUGGCACAGGCCAGAAUCGUGCAGACACCAGCCACGCCUGCCCACGCUGUACCUUCCCGCUCCUGUCUGGAGGGACUCCUUCCUCUCCCUCAUGGUGCUGGCAAGCCUGGCUGGAGAGGUCUCGCUCUCUGUCCCAUUCACUUGGGACCACAGGAAGGCAGUGCUCUUUUGACAGAGGGACACCAAGGAUAGGACGUGCAGUGAGAGGGAGGACAGCCCCCAAACCCUAACAACGAUCUUAAUGAGGCCCGUCGCAGCUGCUUCUGUUUUCCUUCCUAACAGAGCUCGGAGGGCCCUCAGCCCCACAGCUCUGCCUGGCCUUCUGGAGCGGUCGCCCAGUUAGCGCCGUCUCUCCAGGCGGUGGCGCGCUCCCCUCCACACGUGCCCGAGAGUUGGAUGCCAGAUUGGCCUAGCACAGAGUGAGCCAGUGCCCAGCCCCGGCCGUGUGGGAAGCGUUACUCUGGGGACGCACACCCAGCGAGGAGCCAUUUCAUUUCUGGCCGGCACUGAGCCAGGAGCCGGGCCUGUUUUGGGGGGAGCUCAGGGCCGUCCUGGAGGUGGUGCCCACUCACCGUUGCCAAGCCGUCGUCCGCUCUCCUCGUCCCCCCCGGAGUGAGCGCGCCACUGCCCAGCCCCAGGAGGGGCACCACCGCUAGAUCCUUUUCUCUGAAUGUUGAGUCUGGAUAGUUAACUGCCGCGGGAGGGUACUGUUCAGGGAAAACGUGGUCGGGCCUUCAGUGUGGCUGUAAACACAGUCUUCCCGAAAGGCUUACUGACGUUUGAAUGUGCAAAUGGUAUGACGAAAGAGGUCGGGCUCUUUCAUUUGACUUCUCUGCGGCAGGCAGGUGUUCCAGGCAGGGUGCCUGCCCGGCCAGGGCUCGAGGCCGAGCUUCCUGUAACUCCCAGCUGGCCUCGUGCGGCUCCCAGGGCCCUGGCGUGAUGGGCAGGCCUUCCCCGGGCCCAGGAGCGAGGCCUAAGGGAGCUCCUUCCCGGGCCUGGACUCCUCCUUCGAAGGCCAGUGGCUUCUCUGCUGGCUUCGGUUCUUGGGCCUCCGAGGCCCUGGGAACGUGACGCCCAAAUCGAUUUCCCUGCAGCCAGCCGGCAACCCAGGGAUCUUGCCUGAAGUGCCCUGUUGUCGCAGUCCACUUUGAGCACGGAGGACAGGGAACACAAUCUCCACUUCAAUUCCUGCAGAGCACCCUUCUUGAGAAGUCAGUUGCAGGAAUUAGGGGUGAACCUUCCAUGCCCCUGAGAUCUCCCCCACCAUCAAGGUGGGCUACUUCAAGCCCAGUGUAGGGGGCUCAGCAACCUCAGUGGACCACAGGAUGGGGGUCUCUGCUGUCUCUUUCCUUCUGUGAAAUCUUGAGGUCUUGAUAAAAAUCUAUCCAAAUUUCUUUCUUUUUUGCUGUAUUCUUAGGACAACUGGAAGAUGUUACAAAGAAAGGUGAGAUGGGCUAGGUGGUUUAAAAUGCAUCCCUUUUCUGAAAAAGCUGCAGUUCUCAAAGGUCUUGUGCAGAUACAUUCCCAAUGGAGCCUUUUGUCAUUUGGAUUAGCGUGAGAGGAAAAAUGUGAAAUUUCUCAAAUCGAACGGUUUCCCUCUCGAAAUCAGACAUUGCCCCACCCUGCCCCCCACCAUCUCUGACGGAAGGGACUGCCAUCGGCCUACUUGCUCUUUCAAAAUUGCUGAUCUAUUCCUCUCCAAAGGCCCUCAAAGCCCUGUAAAACUUUUAAAACUUUAGCCUUUAUGUCAAAUUAGAGAAACCAAACAAUGUGAUGGUAGAUGUGAUAAAAACCUGAGUUUAUUUUUCUCCCGCUUAUGAACGUGUAUUUAUAUUUGCCGAAUGAAUAUCGUGGUGUGAGCUUCGAUGAAUGGGAUGUCAGGCUUUCCCUGUGCACAGCGGUGGGUGGAGGUCACCUUAAAUGACUUUUUCUUCCCAUCUGUCUGUUAAUCCCCAAACCAGUUGCUUUUUCCAGUUGCUUCCCGGGUGUCUGUACAUAGUUUGUCUUUGUAUAGGAGCGCUCUCCUGUGUUCUAAUUUAACAGAUGAUGGCUGUAUGAGGAAGACAAUGUAAAUAGAAUACAAAUUAAACUGGAUCUCUAUGGCCUAGGUUUUGUACAUACAGAAACUGCAUGGUAUUUAAAUUAUUGUUUGUCUCUGAUGAUGUAUGCAGUUUCUUUAAAAACAAACCAAAAAAAAAAAGUCUAA
Leptonychotes weddellii (Weddell seal) is the source of this 3640-nucleotide non-coding RNA. NCBI's taxonomy places the organism in Eukaryota, Metazoa, Chordata, Mammalia, Carnivora, Phocidae. The record is from RefSeq and is a predicted model, not a curated record.